AUGUUAAGACUAGUUUAAUUUAUAAGCAUGAUAAUCUUGUUAUGUUGAACUUAAAAAUAUGAUUUAAACAUGAAUAUGUUUAAAUUAUAAAAGAUCAUCAUGUUCUUGAGCCAUGUAUAUAAUCUUUGGAAUACUUGGAGAAAUAAGGGUUUAAAUGAACUUAAAACCUAAUUUUAGAAGAUUAGUAAACUUGUUUUUUUUUAAGAUGAGUUAUACAAAAUAAUUGUCAUAAAGGUUCAUACUAAAAAGUCUUAAUUUUUGCUACAUGGAAAAGCUUAUAUACAUAAGCUCAUGAAGUGUUGAGGUUAAAUAAUGAAAAGUGUAUAUAUAUACAAGCUCAUGAAGUGUUGAGGUUAGAUAAUGAAAAGUGUAAGUUUGAUGAAUUAAGGGUGAUUUGGAAAUUGAUUGGUGAUUUAAACGCGUUUUUAUAACGUGGGAAAACGUCAUAGUUUUAGGGGAAACUAUGGCGAAUUUUUCUAAAAAUAAAAUCACGGUUAAAGAGGGAUUAAAGGGUGAUUAACAAUGUUAAACGCGAUUAGUGGUCUUAAACGUCAUUAUGGAAACUUUGAUGGGAAUAUUUAAAGUUUAAAUAUUCAAGAAGUUCUUAUGAACUUAAACUUAUUU
RNAcentral lists this long non-coding RNA (624 nucleotides) under Helianthus annuus (common sunflower). RNAcentral describes it as "hypothetical non coding rna". Lineage: Eukaryota; Viridiplantae; Streptophyta; Magnoliopsida; Asterales; Asteraceae. The record is from RNAcentral.